This 581-nucleotide long non-coding RNA is filed under the name Lepisosteus oculatus (spotted gar). RNAcentral describes it as "lncRNA (ENSLOCG00000022649.1)". Lineage: Eukaryota; Metazoa; Chordata; Actinopteri; Semionotiformes; Lepisosteidae. The record is from RNAcentral.
AUGCUAGUGUCGUGUGUGAACACAUUCCAAGCUGCACAUCUGCAGUGCCUGUCUUACAGCGUGCCGUGGUCACUGUCUAGAGGGAUUCGGUUCUCUCUCCCAGAUCCCGGACAAGCACGUGCCUGUUCGCUGGUCACUGAAAUCUACGUGUUCAGCGGAGCUUUCGUCUGGCUUGUUAUUCCACAGGACAGAUCACCACAUCAUGACCUGACCAGUGUUCUCCAUGAACAGGUGCAGAAAGUGUUGAGCAGCCCACCCCUGAAGCUUGAUUCACCACGAAGAGAAGCAAAGUGUUUCCCAAGACCUUUUAAGCCAGACCGUGUCAAAGACUCAAGGAGCCUUGUUGCCAGGGGGAACACACCGGAGUCUGUCUUUGGUGCUUUAAUAAACAAAAGUGCUUCACUUCCUUAUGGUGUUAUGGAUGUCUUAUUUCAAUUGCCGCUUCUCUGCUUUGUUCCAGGUCUGCCCUCUGGUGGUAGUGGGGUGGGGCUAGGUAUGGCUCCUCCCCAAACAGGGAGAUAGCCAAAAUUUGGGCCCGUUCCUGGGGGAAACAGGUGGGGAGUAGCUAGGAGGGCAGAGGG